CAAAGGUUUGGUCCUGACUUUCCUAUCAACUCAGACCAUAUUUACACAUGCAAGUAUCCGCACCCCGAUGAGAAUGCCCUCAAUUUCCAGGACUGGAAGAAAGGAGCUGGUAUCAGGCACGCCAAUCGCUUUAACGGCAGCCCAAAACGCCUUGCUUAGCCAUACCUUCAAGGGAACUCAGCAGUGAUAAACAUUAAGCCAUUAGUGAAAACUUGACUUAGUUAAGGUCCAACUAGAGCCGGUAAAACUCGUGCCAGCCACCGCGGUUAUACGAGAGGCCCAAGUUUAUAGGCACCGGCACAAAGAGUGGUUAAGAGUACUCCACAGUAAAGCCAAGAUUCUCCUAAGCUGUCAUACGCAACCGAAGAAACAAAGCCCCCCCACGAAAGUAGCCUUAUUAAAUCUGAACCCACGACAACUAAGACACAAACUGGGAUUAGAAACCCCACUAUGCUUAGUCAUAAACUUUGAUAGCACUAUUUAAACCUAUUCGCCAGGGGACUACAAGCGCCAGCUUAAAACCCAAAGGACUUGGCGGUGCUUCAGACCCACCUAGAGGAGCCUGUUCUAAAACCGAUAAUCCCCGUUCAACCUCACCACCCUUUGUCAACCCAGCCUAUAUACCACCGUCGUCAGCUUACCCCGCGAGAGUCUAAUAGUAAGCAAAGUCAGUACUACUCAAAACGUCAGGUCGAGGUGUAGCACAUGAGGUGGGAAGAAAUGGGCUACACUCUCUAAUACAGAGCAUACGAAAGACGUAAUGAAACGUACACCCAAAGGAGGAUUUAGCAGUAAACAAGGAAUAGAGUGCCUCGUUGAAACUGGCUCUGAAGCGCGUACACACCGCCCGUCACUCUCUCCAAGUUCAUCAAAUACAUUAUAUAAAACAUUAAUAGAACUAAGGGGAGGCAAGUCGUAACAUGGUAAGUGUACCGGAAGGUGCACUUGGAUAAAC
Molecule: non-coding RNA, 955 nt
Filed under: Guentherus altivela (highfin tadpole fish)
Lineage: Eukaryota; Metazoa; Chordata; Actinopteri; Ateleopodiformes; Ateleopodidae
Description: 12S rRNA
Rfam family: Bacterial small subunit ribosomal RNA
Source: RNAcentral